GACGAACGCUGGCGGCGUGCUUAACACAUGCAAGUCGAACGGAAAGGCCCUGCUCUUGUGGGGUGCUCGAUUGGCGAACGGGUGAGUAACACGUGAGUAACCUGCCCUUGACUUUGUGAUAACUUCAGGAAACUGGGGCUAAUACCGGAUAGGAUCUCCUGCUGCAUGGUGGGGGUUGGAAAGAUUCGGCGGUUGGGGAUGGACUCGCGGCUUAUCAGCUUGUUGGUGGGGUAGUGGCUUACAAAGGCUUUGAAGGGUAGCCGGCCUGAGAGGGUGACCGGCGACAUUGGGCCUAAGAGACGGCCCAGACGCCUACGGGAGGCAGCAGUGGAGAAUCUUGCACAGUGGGCGGAAGCCUGAUGCAGCAACGCCGCGUGCGGGAUGACGGCCUUCGGGUUGUAAACCGAUUUCGCCUGUGACGAAGCGGGAGUGACGGUAAUGGGUAAAGAAGCACCGGCUAACUACGUG
RNAcentral lists this ribosomal RNA (468 nucleotides) under uncultured bacterium. Its description in RNAcentral is "partial 16S ribosomal RNA". It matches the Rfam family "Bacterial small subunit ribosomal RNA", at positions 28 to 507 of the family's 1533-position model. The record is from RNAcentral.